UUUAUUCCCCAAUUCUAAGCUCUUUUCUUUCAGUUUUAAGAAUCUUUUUAUAUCACUUGCAUUAAAUUUCACAACAUUAUCAACCCAUUAAAAUGUGACUCUUAAGUUUGUCUAGAUUCAAUGCAUACCACUAUUUCUUGCAUUUCCCUAAAAAAGCUGCCUUAGAUCCUCUCUGGAACAAAGCAGGGGGUAAAUGACCAGAUAAAAGGAUGGAUGGAUGAUAGAUGAUUCAUUUUGCUUUCCCCAGUCAGAAUUAAGCCCUCCCAUGGCCCCUUGCUGGGCUUUCUGUCAAAACACGUGCAUCGCAUCUUUUCAGUAUCUGUUUUGCGUGUCGGUCAUUCUCACCCCUCUGAGUGCUCAUUCUCUCGCCUAUAAAAUAGAAGUAGUAGUAGAGGUGGCCUGUAAGGCACUGGGGAAAAGGAACUGCCCUUUCACUGGCUUCAUGACAGCCCCAGCCAGCACCCCCUCUCCAGUUCCACCCACAGAAGCAAGUCUCACCCCUACCCCCCAGGUCUCUCCACUUCCUGCUAGAGAAUCACCCAGCUCCCCAGCCUGGCUUGAGGCUCUUUUCAGCCUUAGCUGGCUCCCCCCAGCUAAGAGCCCCAUGCUCCAUUUGGGCCUCCAGUGUCGCAGGGUUUGACCUGCUGUUACUACUACCUUUGUCAUAGGGGCAGAUAGUGGGCGGACAUGAUCUAGAGUACCCCACAGAGUCAGGAGCCCCCAUGAUCUGGGAUAGACCCUAGAGCUGAGCCUGAAAUUGGGUAGGCACUGAGGGGUCAGUGAUGUUUGCUGAGGGAGAGGUUCUGGUGAGAGACUAAAUGAAUGAGCGAGUGAGGUAAUGGAUAAAUAAAGAUAAGAAUGAAAAAAUGAUAAGAUGAUUAAAUUGGUGACUGAAUGUAAGAGUAAAUUAAUGGAAGAAUGGAUUCAUGGAUUAAAUAAUUAAUGGGGAAAUUAAUGAAUGAGAGAAUGAACGAGUGGUUGAAUGGGGAAAUGAGUGGUAGAGGAAACUAGCAACUGUUGGGUUGGGGGUGUCUAUGGGGAUUGACUUCUCCAACUCUCUUACCUCUUUUUCUUCUGCCCCCAGUGUCCUCUAUUUCUCCAUCCACCGCUACGAGCAGGGUAGGUUCUGGCCCCACCUGAAGGCCUCUAACUGGUCCACCACAGGUUUCGGCCAAGGCCAAGGAUAUACCAUCAAUGUGCCUUGGAACCAGGUGGGGAUGCGGGAUGCUGACUACAUUGCUGCUUUCCUGCACGUCCUGCUGCCAGUCGCCCUCGAGGUCCUGGGGAUCUGGGGUGUGUUGGGAGGAGGAGUGGCCUUGAAGGUUAGGCUGUGAGGGUAGGUAGCCUCAUGGAGUCUGUUCCCCCUUCAGUUCCAGCCUCAGCUGGUCCUGGUGGCUGCUGGAUUUGAUGCCCUGCAAGGGGACCCCAAGGUAAGGCAGGCUCCCUGGGGUGGCAGGUGGGUUGCACGGAGCCAGGCUGACCCUCCAUGUCCCCCCAGGGUGAGAUGGCCGCCACUCCGGCAGGGUUCGCCCAGCUAACCCACUUGCUCAUGGGUCUGGCAGGAGGCAAGCUGAUCCUGUCUCUGGAGGUGAGUGACUCACCUUUGUCCCUCAGCCUGUGGAUCCUGGAGGGCUUAAGAACGAAGCUUUCAAGUCCAACAGGAGUUCCUGGCCCAGGAAUUCACUUACUAGCUGGACAACCUUGCAUAAGUCACUUCACUUCUUUGUACCUCCGCUUUCCUUCUGUAAAACGAGCAUAAUAAUGGUAAUCACCUCAUAUCAUUGUCCAGUGAAUUCAGUGAGGCCCCCUUCUAAGUUCCUUGUUGCUUGACAUUUGGUAUGCACUCUUUUAUUAUCAUCAUUAUUAUUAUUCCCUGGUCAUGUCUGGUCCUUUCCUGAUUCCCCUUCACAACUCCUUGCCCCAGGGUGGCUAUAACCUCCGCGCCCUAGCUGAAGGCGUCAGUGCUUCGCUCCACACCCUUCUUGGAGACCCUUGCCCCAUGCUGGAGUCACCUGGUGCCCCCUGCCGGAGUGCCCAGGCUUCAGUUUCCUGUGCUCUGGAAGCCCUUGAGCCCUUCUGGGAGGUUCUUGUGAGAUCAACUGAGACCGUGGAGGGGGACAACAUGGAGGAGGACAAUGUAGAGAGCGAGGAGGAAGGACCCUGGGAGCCCCCUGCGCUCCCAAUCCUGACAUGGCCAGUGCUACAGUCUCGCACAGGGCUGGUCUAUGACCAAAGUAUGAUGAAUCACUGCAACUUGUGGGACAGCCACCACCCUGAGGUACCCCAGCGCAUCUUGCGGAUCAUGUGCCGUCUGGAGGAGCUGGGCCUUGCCGGGCGCUGCCUCACCCUGACACCGCGCCCUGCCACAGAGGCUGAGCUGCUCACCUGCCACAGUGCUGAGUACGUGGGUCAUCUCCGGGCCACAGAGAAAAUGAAAACCCGGGAGCUGCACCGUGAGAGUUCCAACUUUGACUCCAUCUAUAUCUGCCCCAGUACCUUCGCCUGUGCACAGCUUGCCACUGGCGCAGCCUGCCGCCUGGUAGAGGCUGUGCUCUCAGGAGAGGUUCUGAAUGGAGCUGCUGUGGUGCGUCCCCCAGGACACCACGCGGAGCAGGAUGCAGCUUGCGGUUUUUGCUUUUUCAACUCUGUGGCUGUGGCUGCUCGCCAUGCCCAGGCUAUCAGUGGGCGUGCCCUACGAAUCCUGAUUGUGGAUUGGGAUGUCCACCACGGUAAUGGAACUCAGCACAUGUUUGAGGAUGACCCCAGUGUGCUAUAUGUGUCCCUGCACCGCUAUGAUCAUGGCACCUUCUUCCCCAUGGGGGAUGAGGGUGCCAGCAGCCAGAUCGGCCGGGCUGCGGGCACAGGCUUCACCGUCAACGUGGCAUGGAACGGGCCCCGCAUGGGUGACGCUGACUACCUAGCUGCCUGGCAUCGCCUGGUGCUUCCCAUUGCCUACGAGUUUAACCCAGAACUGGUGCUGGUCUCAGCUGGCUUUGAUGCUGCACGGGGGGACCCGCUGGGGGGCUGCCAGGUGUCACCUGAGGGUUAUGCCCACCUCACCCACCUGCUGAUGGGCCUUGCCAGUGGCCACAUUAUCCUUAUCCUAGAGGGUGGCUAUAACCUGACAUCCAUCUCAGAGUCCAUGGCUGCCUGCACUCGCUCCCUCCUUGGAGACCCGCCACCCCUGCUGACCCUGCCACGGCCCCCACUAUCAGGGGCCCUGGCCUCAAUCACUGAGACCAUCCAAGUCCAUCGCAGAUACUGGCGCAGCUUACGGGUCAUGAAGGUAGAAGACAGAGAGGGACCCUCCAGUUCUAAGUUGGUCACCAAGAAGGCACCCCAACCAGCCAAACCUAGGUUAGCUGAGCGGAUGACCACACGAGAAAAGAAGGUUCUGGAAGCAGGCAUGGGGAAAGUCACCUCGGCAUCAUUUGGGGAAGAGUCCACUCCAGGCCAGACUAAGUCAGAGACAGCUGUGGUGGUCCUCACUCAGGACCAGCCCUCAGAGGCAGCCACAGGGGGAGCCACUCUGGCCCAGACCAUUUCUGAGGCAGCCAUUGGGGGAGCCAUGCUGGGCCAGACCACCUCAGAGGAGGCUGUCGGGGGAGCCACUCCGGACCAGACCACCUCAGAGGAGACUGUGGGAGGAGCCACUGUGGACCAGACCACCUCAGAGGAUGCUGUUGGGGGAGCCACGCUGGGCCAGACUACCUCAGAGGAGGCUGUAGGAGGAGCUACACUGGCCCAGACCACCUCGGAGGCAGCCAUGGAGGGAGCCACACUGGACCAGACUACGUCAGAGGAGGCUCCAGGGGGCACCGAGCUGAUCCAAACUCCUCUAGCCUCGAGCACAGACCACCAGACCCCCCCAACCUCACCUGUGCAGGGAACUACACCCCAGAUAUUUCCCAGUACACUGAUUGGGAGUCUCAGGACCUUGGAGCUAGGCAGCGAAUCUCAGGGGGCCUCAGAAUCUCAGGCCCCAGGAGAGGAGAACCUACUAGGAGAGGCAGCUGGAGGUCAGGACAUGGCUGAUUCGAUGCUGAUGCAGGGAUCUAGGGGCCUCACUGAUCAGGCCAUAUUUUAUGCUGUGACACCACUGCCCUGGUGUCCCCAUUUGGUGGCAGUAUGCCCCAUACCUGCAGCAGGCCUAGACGUGACCCAACCUUGUGGGGACUGUGGAACAAUCCAAGAGAAUUGGGUGUGUCUCUCUUGCUAUCAGGUCUACUGUGGUCGUUACAUCAAUGGCCACAUGCUCCAACACCAUGGAAAUUCUGGACACCCGCUGGUCCUCAGCUACAUCGACCUGUCAGCCUGGUGUUACUACUGUCAGGCCUAUGUCCACCACCAGGCUCUCCUAGAUGUGAAGAACAUCGCCCACCAGAACAAGUUUGGGGAGGAUAUGCCCCACCCACACUAAGCCCCAGAAUACGGUCCCUCUUCACCUUCUGAGGCCCACGAUAGACCAGCUGUAGCUCAUUCCAGCCUGUACCUUGGAUGAGGGGUAGCCUCCCACUGCAUCCCAUCCUGAAUAUCCUUUGCAGCUCCCCAAGAGUGCUUAUUUAAGUGUUAAUACUUUUAAGAGAACUGCGACGAUUAAUUGUGGAUCUCCCCCUGCCCAUUGCCUGCUUGAGGGGCACCACUACUCCAGCCCAGAAGGAAAGAGGGGCAGCUCAGUGGCCCCAAGAGGGAGCUGAUAUCACGAGGAUAACAUUGGUGGGAGGGGAGUUAACUGGCAGGCAUGGUAAGGUUGCAUAUGUAAUAAAGUACAAGCUGUUAAAAAA
Molecule: small RNA, 4784 nt
Filed under: Pongo abelii (Sumatran orangutan)
Lineage: Eukaryota; Metazoa; Chordata; Mammalia; Primates; Hominidae
Description: retained intron
Source: RNAcentral